RNAcentral lists this ribosomal RNA (445 nucleotides) under uncultured bacterium. Its description in RNAcentral is "partial 16S ribosomal RNA". It matches the Rfam family "Bacterial small subunit ribosomal RNA", at positions 354 to 796 of the family's 1533-position model. The record is from RNAcentral.
GUGAGGAAUAUUGGUCAAUGGACGGAAGUCUGAACCAGCCAUGCCGCGUGCAGGAAUAAGGUCCUAUGGAUUGUAAACUGCUUUUAUUCGGGAAUAAACCUCUUUACGUGUAGGGAGCUGAAGGUACCGAAGGAAUAAGCACCGGCUAACUCCGUGCCAGCAGCCGCGGUAAUACGGAGGGUGCAAGCGUUAUCCGGAAUCAUUGGGGUUAAAGGGUCCGCAGGCGGGCUAUCAAGUCAGAGGUGAAAUCCCACAGCUUAACUGUGGAACUGCCUUUGAAACUGAUGGUCUUGAAUUAAGUGGGCGUUGGCGGAAUAUGACAUGUAGCGGUGAAAUGCAUAGAUAUGUCAUGGAACACCGAAAGCGAAGGCAGCUAACGAUACUUAUAUCGACGCUCAUGGACGAAAGCGUGGGUAGCGAACAGGAUUAGAAACCCCGGUAGUCC